Molecule: ribosomal RNA, 497 nt
Filed under: uncultured bacterium
Lineage: Bacteria
Description: partial 16S ribosomal RNA
Rfam family: Bacterial small subunit ribosomal RNA
Source: RNAcentral
GACGGACGCUGGCGGCGUGCCUAAUACAUGCAAGUAGAACGCUGAAGAGAGGAGCUUACUCUUCUUGGAUGAGUUGCGAACGGGUGAGUAACGCGUAGGUAACCUGCCUUGUAGCGGGGGAUAACUAUUGGAAACGAUAGCUAAUACCGCAUAACAAUGGAUGACACAUGUCAUUUAUUUGAAAGGGGCAAUUGCUCCACUACAAGAUGGACCUGCGUUGUAUUAGCUAGUAGGUGAGGUAAUGGCUCACCUAGGCGACGAUACAUAGCCGACCUGAGAGGGUGAUCGGCCACACUGGGACUGAGACACGGCCCAGACUCCUACGGGAGGCAGCAGUAGGGAAUCUUCGGCAAUGGGGGCAACCCUGACCGAGCAACGCCGCGUGAGUGAAGAAGGUUUUCGGAUCGUAAAGCUCUGUUGUAAGUCAAGAACGGGUGUGAGAGUGGAAAGUUCACACUGUGACGGUAGCUUACCAGAAAGGGACGGCUAACUACGUG